GGGUAGGGGGUGCAGCUUGGCUUCACCAGACACCUGCAGUUGAGGCUAAUUUUUACCCUCAGAAUCAAGACACAGAAAUUUGGCGGUUCCUAUGCGGCUGAGCUGGGCGGGCUGUGUCUGUGGGUUGUUUUGGGGGAGCCUUCUGUGAUUACCAAUUUGACCCCCAAGCAGGGUCUCUGACGAGCUUGGAAGACUUCCCAUUUGCAGUGGUCAUUAUUUUAUGUGCACAUUGCUGAUGACACUGACCUAAGUUCUGUUCUCUUCUUUGAUGUCCCCGCGUGAAAGUUGAAGAUGGGCAAACUGCAUGUGACAGGACUGUCUGCAACGCGUGACUAUGAGGAACAGUGGGUGAAUUCCUGUAGAAGGAGAAAAAGAGGCAUUUCUGCAGAAUCCCUUUCAAAGCCAUGAUCAGGGGAAAUCUGAUUUCUCCAUUUUUAAACGAGCUCUGUACAGUGAUGCUCACAGACCGCAGCAGUGGUAGGGAAGCAUUUCAGCUUGUCAGUGAUGAAAUGGGGCCUGAAUGCGCUACAGGUUCUGGGGCUUUAAAUCUCCUACUUGAGGUAAUGGCACUGAUAAGGGGCAAUAGAGUGUUACCAGGCUGUAGCACAACUCUGACCAGGCCUUUGGAAACCGGAGGUCCCAGGUGAUCCCAAAGUCCCAAUGGACUCAGUGGUGUAAGGAGCUUUUUUUGCCCUGAGGAAGAAAAGGGUGCACGGCUUCAUCCCAGCACAGGGAGGUUUUCCACCUAUUUGUUACGGUGUGUGUGAGCAGAAGAUACAUUUAUAGAGGCAGUCAGAAAUACUUUAGCGUUAUCCAGAGACAAAGGCAGUUAAUCCGAGAUGUCUUUCCCUGUGAACAGCAGCAAAAUAAAGGAUAGCUUUUUAUGACAGCUAUUUGAAAGACAGUUUUAUCAUAAGUUUUUAUGACAACAGUGUUCUGCUCCUCUCUUCUAUUAUGGAAAAUACACUGAAGCUGGGAAUUCAUUUCAGUAAGUUUGCCAUUAGUGAGGGAUCGGUAUUUCAGGAAAAAGGAGAAAAGAAUUCAAGAUCUUCCUAAAAAAUCACAUUCCAAAACGUCGGAUUGUAAUGCACUUUUCUGGCUUCGGGACCAAUGCGAAAUGAAAGGAAAGAAUCGAUAAUUUUAUUUACACAAUGAUAUUGAAAAACAAAAAACCGAAGAAGGUAAUUUAUGGCAUGGCAACCUUACUGGAAGCCAUUGUUAGUUCAGUCUUCUGAAAAUCAGAGCUGAAAAAAGCCAUUUCAGACCAUCUUCCCCAACAAAGUCGGGCAGGAUGAGCUGUAGCCUAAUGCAUUCUCCUUCUUCAACAGCAGUUGCCUGAGAGCUCCAUCUGAGCUCCAUCCAAUCUCCUGUGGUCAUUUACCUACUAUCUGCUAGCCUUUUUAUUUUAACAGGGAGUAGUCUGUCACCAAACUGGCACGUGCUGGCAAAGUUGAUUGAAACCAAGUGCCCUGCAGUGACUGUAUGACUAGCGAGUCAUAUAGCAAAGGGUUAGGCUGGAGUUGCAAUUGGAGAAGGAAAUUCAUUGAACUAAGGCUUGACUUUGGGAUUCUAAUUUCUUAGGUUAACCUAGUGUAAUUAGCAACAAAUUCACCUUUGAUUUAAACCUGCUGAUUCACACAUUGCAGGUUGGAUGGCAGUUAGGUGACUGACUUAGGUGGACAUGCCUUUGUUCUCAGAAACAUUAGAGGGGAAUCUCUCCUGAAUCUAGGACUUUUGUUUUGGAGACCAUACAGGCCCGACUGGUAAAUGUUGAUAUAGUCUUCCAAAACUACGCCUGUUGUUUUUAUUAGCACUCAAUGUCUCCUCUUUUCUUUCUCACUGUGUCAGGCCAGAACUGCAAGGGGCUGGAAUCCUUUUAGCAUUUUAACACUUCCUUGACAAACAUCCUGCUGUUCUAUCGCUGCCCUCCUGAAGUGUAAGAGCUCGUUUUUGAGGGGAGAAAAACAUCUCCAAACUCAAGGAACUAUUUGCACUUGUGUUGGGUGACAUCUGCUUUACUGCAAGCAUCACUGAAUGCAGAUCUACAGCCUUUUAACCCUAUUCUCUAGGGCAACAAUUUUGUGCUCUAGUUCUUCCAGGCUCUCAUUUGUCACCUUUUUUCAGGGAGUAUAAGAUGUAGCUUCUCUCUUAAGAAAAGCUUUGGUUGCUUACCCUACACGCAAAGAUAUGUGCAGAAAUCCCCACAGGGUAACAAAAACCUUCCCCAGGGAAAACAUCCUUGAACUAGUUUAACUGAAAGCUCCCAAUUUCACAGUGCCUUUGGCUGGAAAAUUUAAAUGUUCAAAGGGCUGUGGCAUGAUUAAAGAUUUUCUUGUCUCAGCCUCUGAUGCAAGAGUGCAGACUCUCCUCCUCCCCUCACUGCUUGCAUAGAUUGGGUUUAUAGGAGUGAUUGAAAACAGACUAGAGCGUUAGAGGAAGAAACAGAGACCUAUGGUGGAAAACAGAGAAAGAAGGGCUUCUUGGGGCUUUUCCAUUCUUUGCCCCUGCAGCUCUGUGCAGAUCAUUCAUCUGUGUCCCUUCCAGGCAGUGGACCCGAGAAGAUGGUCUUGAUUUUUGCACCAGUUAUAGUUCUGGUUUGGAACUGGGCUCUGACUCGAGGACAUCAAGCUCCUUUCGGAGAACUCUUGCUGGACACCUGGUCACUACUUCUCUCAGCUCUUCUCUCUGGGAGAAUUUUGCUCUAGGUUCAGUUCACUGCACUCACAGGUUUUUGCACCACCUGAGUCUGUUUUUUUUAAUUUAGUUUCUAUGAGGUUUCAUUCCAGUUGUUUAUAAUGACUGUCUUCUCCAGACCCUGCACUGCAGCAUUUCCAAGCUCAGUAUGAAAACAGUGUAGACUCGGUGAGACUGCAUUUCUGAUGUAUCAUCCUGCUGCAAAUCCCUGAUCUUUGCAGCUAACCCAAAAGCUGGGGAAGAGGGAGCAAUAUCCUCUCUUCCUGCAGCUAAAGAUCCUCAAACAAACACCACAACCAUUUUAACCGAGUUGAAUGCCUCCAGGGGAGAUAGUGAUGUUUUGUCACACACAGAAAUAGGGACAUGGCAAAGCUGAGGUACCAUUUCCAUUGCUUUAAUUGCUGAGUGGGCAGCUCAGGCCGGGUGUAUAGAAAUAUCUCCUACCUGCAGCUUCACUGACCUCAGGAUAUCCAACCCCGUCUUUCCCUGCUGCCUUCCAUCAUUGUUUUAGAAUGGUAAAAGCAGGUGAGGUCUGAGGGCUGGGCCCCUGAGAGCUGUAAGGCAGCAGGCACAUAUGCAGAGAAGUGUCUAGCUUAUCCCUCUUCUGCUUUUUGGUGGGUUAGGAAAGAGUUAAAUGACAACAGAGGGAGAGGCUGUGCUAUUGUUCAGGCAUCCCUGGGUCCAGGGUGGCUGAUCUCUAUUCCCGGAUCUGCCUCUGGCUUCCUGCAUGACCUUGGACCGGUCACUUACCUUUUCUUUUCCUUAGCUCCCAGAUUAUAACAUGGAAAUCAUUCUCUUCCUGUGGUGCCUCGUUCCCUGCGGGUUUCAGGGUGGCUGAGAUUCUCUGGUGGGCGAUGAUGGGAGGAAGAGAACACGUUUCCACUGGAGAAAUAUUUACACAGAGGGUGGCAAUUUUUGGACGUGUUCUUGUUCACUCAGAUACAGCGCGGGCUGUGCAUAUGGUGAUAUUUGGUUUUUUUAGUAGGCAAACCUGUGGUGAAAGUCAAAUUCCAUUUGUCGUUGAUGCAGCUGCCCGAGAGCAAUGCCAGCUGCAGUGAUCCUUUUCUUCACUAGAUGGUGCUUUUGAUCAAAGAUUUGAAUAACGGCAGUUCCUUUCUGCACAGAAUUUCCUAAUUUUUCUUCCCUAGUCUCCAUUCCUUCCCCUCUUCUUUCUGUGCUUCAACACUACGGGGGACACUCAGUAAUGCUGGAUAUUGAGCAAGGCUAAUCUGGUGGUAAUACAGGCUCCAAGCCACCCGCACCCACCAGCCAGCUUGUCUUCUGGGCUUUGGUUUUUGAAGUGUGUAUCAGUGCUGCUGGGCUGUGGCAGAGAAUUGAAUUCUUUCCGUGUUUUCUAUUCCCAUAAGGAAAAGGCUUCAAAGAGCAGGUCCCCUCCCCCUCUCUGCUGGUGAAGGGCAUUUAGGGAAGCUGGGAAAAAAAAUCCAGCUCUGACAGAUGCAUUUAUUUAACAAACCACUGCCUUUCCCUACCUUAGCAGAAGAUUGGUUGGUUUUUUUUUUUUUAAAAAGGGAAUUGCUGCUUUUAUAUCCGUCUUUGUAUUCAGGAGAUGGUUACCUAGCCAAGGUCAUUGCUGCUGCAUGCCAGUAUCAAGCAGAGAGCCAGCCUCCUCUUCCUUGAACGAGCACUGAUCUCGGUAAGACUUCCCCAGGUAAAGAACGGGAACAGGCUUGAAUCUGCCAAUGCAAGGUCCCAAGCCGCUGCUGGGUAGAAAAAGCCACAAGAACAGCCUUCCUUUUUAUAAAGGCAGCAGAGGAGAUGAAUGAAAUUGUAAUCAAACAUUUCCUGUGCAGUCACGCACAGGGAUCGGGUUAUGAGCUCGUACAGUGUGAGGCACAGCAGGGUGUGUGGUGGUGUGCUGUCAUCAUCCGUGACAGCGUGUGCAGGGCAAAUGGGGCUGCCUGCCCCCAGCACCCCAACCUGGCACACACACAGACGAUAACCGUCCUGUGCUGGGCCCCUUCCGAGUCUGACCCGAGGCUCUCGCCCCUCUGGCACUCGUCGGCAGCGAUGGUGCUUGUUCACAUUCGUGCGCUCGCAGGGCUACCUGCAGCCCGCUGUGCCCGUGCCUUCGUGCCAGGCUGCCUCGCACGCUGCAAACGUGCAUCCGGACACUCCCAUCGGGGAGGCUGCGAGGUUACAUCACGUACAGCUCCCUCCCCAUGGAAUUUUACAAACGUUAAUGAAUGGGGCUGGAUUGCUGCUAUGACGCCAAUCAGCCAUGCACAGAUUUAUAGUCUGAGGCCAAGAGAGAUUAUGCUUCUGCCUCUGGCACUGCACCAGUGGCAGCAAUUUCAUGUGUGUGUUGACAAGCCCGCAAGGCCGGUGCCCACAGCAGCCCUGUCCUCACGUGCUGGAUGUUACGCUUAUGGCAGUGACGUCCCCACAGCAGGGACACGAGCUAUGCUAAACUGCAGUGUGACACAAAACUCCUCUCGGGACUGGGAGCUGACAGUGAUUUCUUUGUCAUUCCCCUGUUGUCAUCUUCCCACUGCACAUAUAUUUGUUCAUCAUCAGUAAGAUAUUGCUGAUGACUAAACCCUGGGUCUGCAUCACAGAGAAACUGUUUGAAGGAGCAGCCCAGAACUGCAGGGUUCAAACUCGUAGAAGAUUGAGAAGUGGGGACAGUGCAUUUCCUCACAUCUAUUAGAUCUGGAGAGCAAGCCACUCUCCCAGUCCCUCCUGGCUGAGAGAGAAUUGCAUCACUAGUGCAUGCAGAUUUUUUUUUUCCUGAAUUGUGUUUGUUUUAUUGUUUUCCUCCGAUGGAAUUUGCCAGCAUGUCCCAAAUUAUGUGGUUCUGAAAUUUAAAAGCAACAUACCUGUGUGGGGGAGAGAAUGAGUGGUUUUCACUUUGCAAUCUGGCUCUUCCCUCCCUCCUCCCUUUUCCCCACAUCCCAUGUGUUAUGGAGCCAGCUGCUCCCGGAAUAGUUUGGGAAUGAAAUGUCACCGUUUGAAACUGGUGAGUCACACUUUUUGAAAGGGGGGGGGGGGAACGGGGGGGGGAGAAUAUGAAAUCUUGCGGUGUGGCAGAGCGUCUCCUGGUGAGUACAGAGAGAUUUUUAAAACCACGGACUCCCUGUUGAUGGAAUCGAGGGGCUUUGAAUAAAGGCUGCUGGGCGUGUCCAUGUCGCUUUUUGCAGGAGGAUCUCAAAACCCUCUGCAAACUUUAAUUGUCUUCCUUAACAUGCCCACUGCAGCUGGAUCCUAGUGCCUCCUCCAGCAGGACUAGGUUGUAUCUGUCUGACAACACACCUACAAUGACUCUCUUAAUUAAGUCUCCCCGCACUGCUGUGAGGUAUGUAAUUACAGUGAGACCUGACUUAAGCAACCACUCGAGGGACUAACAAAAAAAAAAUUCUUUACCAGAGCAGGGAGGAACAGAAUUCUACUGAAUACAUUUUGGGGGAAGUUUGUUAACCAAAGGGGGUUAAUUAUUCUGGUUUCUUCUCAGUGUAUCCCAAUAUUAGGAUGAUGCCUUUAAUAUACUGUGUGUUAACAUAAUCAGGGGUUUUUUCUUUUUAAAAGGAUACUUGAGAUCUUUUGUCUUUUAACAGAGAUUGCUAUAAAAAAAGUGUCAAUUAGUGCAAAUGGUGGCAAUGGUCUUGCGAAAUGAACUAUUGUUUAUCAGAAGCUGAGUAGUUGUCCCUCCCUGCCCAACCCAGGUCCAGUGGUAAAAAUAUUUAGUCAAAGGGCAACAUUCUGGAUUCCUGCUCCAGGGUAUUAUAACCACCCAUUUUCAUGACUCUACAUAGCAGCUCUGCCUAGUAGGUACUAGGAAUCAUGUAUCUUGAACUAAAGUACCACAGUAGUUGCGAUACUAAUGGUAUCUCCCAGAGAGCUCUGGCAGUUCCAGGCGGACUGAUUUUCGAUGUCGCUGCCCCAGCCUGCUGUCAGAGGUCUCUAUCCAGUACUCGAGGUGGCAGGCCGGACUGUGCGUCACCAUUCUCAGCCCAGUGUAUUGAUAUAAACUGCCAGCUAUUUCAGGUUGCAUUACUACUCCAAGCGCUGAACUGUAGUGGCCAUGGAGAAGAUAUGCCACCCAUUUUGCAGCCUCUGCUUCAACAGUAAUGCUCUCCAGCUGAAGGACAGGAAGAAGCUGGAAAUAGUAAUAUCAUAAAUAGUCCCACUAUGGGCUGGCAGCCCUCCUCUCGAGUCCCACCUUCAGUGGCAUUCCAAAUACAUGCUGUGAGUAAAACUCCCAAAUUGCAAGCCAAGCUAUGCAGCUAACUUGGUGGGGAUUUUGCAAGCACAAGCCCUAGGGGGGGUUGAUGCCAUCUCUGUCUAUUAUAUUUGGAAGACUGAGCUAGUAGCAAGAUUUUAUGAAGUGUGCUUUUAUAUCUCAAAUUUUAGACAGUGUUUACUAGAAACCCACAUAUUCUGUCGUCACAGGAUUUGACAAAAAUAAUCUCUGGCUGCAGAAAUUUGCUGCAGAGUCUAAGAUUUUGUUGUUUAAGACAAAAUAAAACAAACCCUGUACUUCACGGCCUCAGAGACAACCUUGAGAAGUCAAAUCUGGGUGCCAUUCCACAUGCCUUUUCCUCAGCAGCAAAGCCUGCCUAUCUGCCUCACUCUUUUCUCUUUUUUUUUUUUUUUCCCUUUUUUCUUUAACUCAGACUAUUUCAGUGAUUUGGCUUACACUGCAGGUCUGCAAAGAGUUGAACCAGCAACACUGCAGGAGCUGUAAGUUGCAGCAGCAACACAGGACUGAGCCAAGGAACCAGGGUGUGACAGAUGUUACGUGCUUGAGGGCAUAUUGACAGUACUGCAGUUAGAAGAAUUUCAGUGUAAGAAGCUAUUUAGACCCAAAUCCACAUCCAGAACUGCAGGUCCACUGAUCUGGAUGUACUAAUGGGUGGGAGAGAAUGACACAUACUGAAGGGCUUUUUGAUGGUUGAAGAAUCUAAGGAAAUCCACACUCUAGGCCCUUCCAUCUCCAUUUCCAUCUUUCCAGCUUGUCUGAGAAGUUGCAUGACUUUGCAUUUGUUGAAUAGCUGUAGUUACAUCUCAAAAGCCCUGGUUUCCUAGUUAUUUUCUGUUCGCCAUUCGAUGUACCACAAAGAGAGGUUCAGUGUGGGCUUUUGCUUCUGCCUGUGUGAAAAAAUUGAAUCCAGGGGAAGGCAGCAAAAUAGUGAUGCAGAGCAGAGAAGGGAACAGUCCUAAUAGUGUUGAGUUGUUCAUGUAAUAUGGCAUAGGUUUAAAUCUCGCAGGGCAGAGCAAACCAGCCUUUGCAAUUGUUUCUGACAUUUUCUCAGUCCCUUCUCCUCCAUCCACUUAGGAAAACUGAAAUCACCAGUCCUGUGCCUAGAUAUAAAAGAAAGAAGUUUGUUUUGAAGAGUUUAUAUGCCUGUACCUGCCAAUAUGAGGCAGGAAAAAGAUUGACUUUUUGCAAGCAGUCUCCUAUCAACUCAUAAGCCAAAUGAACAGGGAGGACAAGUACGCUCAGUACCACUGUAGUCUUUCAACUGUGAAAGACAUUGCACUACAGCUCUUUGCCAUUCUCUACUGCUCUAGCUAUGGAACCUGGGCAGAAGCUGCUGCAUGGCCACCUAAGGUUUAGCCUUCUGUGUGUGUUACAUUUCUGUUACCCUGUUUCAGAAACUGCCUUUGCCGGGUCUGUGAUUAAAGCAAACUAUCCAUCCCUGAUGAUCUCCCUCAGCUUUAGCCCUCUUUUGGGUUAUACGGCAUCUUCACAAACCCACAUAAAACUCAGCAGACACACAAAUAAAACCAGCCCUCCCUCUGCAUAAAACCACGAAGUAUUGCUAGGGUUUUCCCCACUGCCUUCCACUUUAACCCUCCAGCAUUGCUCUCCUUGUAUUCUUGUUCUCCCAGGAGUCCACAUUGCUCUGUGUUUAGUGGCAGGCGAUGAAAUCAAACCGUGCAUUAGCAGCUCCAUAAUAGCUUUCUCAGUGGAACCCAGCUUCCUUCAUUAAUCCAGAAAAUGAGAGUUGUUUUCGUACAUUUGAGAAGCUAAUUAUUUAAGUGCUGGGAAUUAAGGCUCAUCAGAUACUGGAGACUGAUUUUGGUUUUGCUUCCCAGGGGAUGGAACGAAAUGGAGUAAGCUGGUUUUGCACAGGUGUGCAGUAUGGUAACUCACCAGUACUUGGAGCAGGGAACAACAGUGUGCAGAUCCUUGUCUACCUUAAGCAUAAAAGCCCCUCUCUUUGUACAUCUUCUUCCAGAUAUCAUCUGAUGAUUCUUCCCAUUCAAAUAGAUUUAUUAAGUCAUCACUGAUCAAAUAAAUCUAUAGCUUUAUUUUCUUCUGCCAUGGAAAGAUGUACCCCACUUGUGGUUGACCUAGCCUGAAUAUUUUGCAAUAAACCAAAAAUGCCUUGUCUCAGCUGGGUUUUUAGAGAGGGAAACCAGCUCACAUGAGUUGUCCUUCUAUAAUCAGCUAUCCUUCAGCCUUACCUUUGAUCACCAUAGUCAGAGAGGUGUUUAGAUAGAACAGCUGCUACCUAACCUAACAAGGGACCUUCCAGUGGCUUGGGAAACAGAAGAUGAAUUGGGUGAAAACCCCCCUCAUCGGUGGGAAACCACAGAUGAGGACAGAUCUGUUGUUCUAAACAAAGUUUUUACAACAGAAUGAAUUUCAACAGUAGAUGGGUGCUUUUGACAUUCUUCCCAGAAAAUGACAGAGAAUCUGUUGAUGCUAUUGCCAAUAACUAUAUGCUAAAGAAUGGGGAUUUGGUUCUGAUGGUGUCACUGGACAGAUCCAGUCUUCAUUACAAGCAGCUUGCCAAGAACAAAUUUUUCAUUUUUAUUGUGAUAGCCAAUGCCCUGUGUUGUCUUCAGAGACUAAGGGAGUGAACUUUUCUGUGUGUUCAGUUGAAGCCAGAUGUUAAAGUAUUGUCUGGAUGUAAUUGACUUGACAAAUACCAGGAGUGACAUUUUAGCUCCAUUUGAAUCAGUGGCAAAACUCCUGUUGAGUUCAGCUGGGGCCAAGAUUUCAGCCUAUGACAGUGCUGAUGGGAAAUCUAACAAAUAAAUAAUCUUCAGAAAAAUAAGUGUAGUCAUUCUGUUUUUCUAGGACUCUUUUCAACCUAUGGGACAUGAAUCCUUGGAAUUCUGUGCACUACUUUGAAGAAGUCUGCAAAAGAUCACAAAGACAAGGAAGCUUAUUGUCAGUAGAUUUAAAUGAGCUGUACAGGGGUCCACAAUUCCAAGGGUAAACUUCAGGAGUUGAUUACAAAGUUCUAAGUCAGCUCGAUCCAUUGAAAUCCACCUAUCUUUGCACUCCUUGGACUAACAAGCAUCCUUCUGGCAGGAAGGUUCUGUGCAGCUGAACUAACCCUUUGACAUUGAGUAUUGUGGAUUCAAGAAGCUGCUCUGUCCCCUAUACUAGGACUGAGCCAUGUGGAAACCUCUGAUCUGGCACCUGUCAGGUGCUCUUACCAAUGGAUUGGGCUGAAAACAAAAACUUUUAGAGAAGCUGGUGUAGCUGGCAUUAUACAACGAAUUCAGUUUUGUAGCAAGGUCAGUACUUUGUCCCCGAGAUAAAUGAGCAGGUAUACAGUGUUCUCCCUACAGACUGUGAGGUGUCUGAAGUAUUUCAGAUGAACUUUAUUGGGAACUAAAGGCAAUCAGCUUCAGGCAGAAUCGUGCAACAGAUUCUACCUAUAUCUCCAGAGCUUUAAGCCCAGCAGUCAGACAUACAACCUGAUGUGCUUUAAAGGCUUUGGAUUAAGUAAUGGUAGUACUACUGGGAUGAAAGUUCAUAAUGCUUAGAUGAAAAAAGGCUUGCGCUAGGAAAUAAAAAUCACUGAAGAUUUAAAAAUAGAGUAAUUUUAAAAUUUUAAAAGUGUUCUGUUUAGGAUUUCAAAAAUUUUUCUGUGUGGGUUUUGGUAAGCAGAGUUGUUUUGUAAGUUCUUUCCUGUUAGAUUGUGGGAGAAUUUGUCUUUUUUAGGGUGCCUGAAAAGCAGGAGAGGUACUGAGGAAUCUUCAUGUGGCUCCUGAAUAGCCCCCUUCAAAUCCACUUUUGGAGCCAGGGUCUUCAGCCUCUUGUAAGAUCAAACUUAAGACAGCUUCACUUGUAGUCCAAGUUUAUAUGAGGAAUCCUAGCUAAAUCCUUGAUGUUGCUUAUACAUCUGAUCGAAGGGAAAGGUUCGUGUUUACCUGAGAACUCUAUUGGACAUUUUAACACGUAUUAUGUGGAAAAGCAUGCCAAAGUGGUAAAGUAACAAUUGAUUCAUGGCUAUCUAGCGGAGUCUAGAAGUGCCACCUUGGGAUGACAUGGAUUGAAGAUACAGUUACUUUGCUUUUCCAUGUGAAGAAUGCUGCUUCUUCCCAGCUGAGCUAUUGUGUAACAUAGAUGACUCUCUGGAGGAAGAGUUUGCUGCACAUUUGCACUAUGUUUUAGCUACUAUCAACAUUUAUAUUCCAUUGGCAUUUGAGGGUAAGCACUAAUUAGCAUAAUAAUCAAUGCUUUAAAAUUAAAAAUUCCUCCAAGAGACACAGGAGGGAUUGAAACUGUUUCCUUCCCCCAGAGGCAAAUCCUUUCCCAAGCUAUCUGCUGCACCAAAAGGUUUUAUUCUAGAAACAUUCCCAAGCUAUGCCCAAGAGUAAAUUAAACUACAGCAAACUUGUAAACUCUCGAGUGUGUGUGUGUGUGUAGCAAGCAGGCCCUGAUUUGACAAUUACUACAUGACAAAAUGUUGUCACUAUUUUCCACUCCUAUUUUGUUUUGACUGCUUCUCUGUGCCGCUGUGUCACCUUUACUGUGUGGGCUGGAACAAUCAAGAAGUGUUUGUGGAGUCUGAAGUUUUUACACUACACAGGAAAGAUUCUGGUGUCUUCACAAGCUAGAAAGCAAAGGGUUUAAUGACAUUGCCCUCUUCUAGAGCUUGCCUCAAGCUCCCCAAGUCAGGAGCUGGCCUAAAAAAAUCUCAAGAGCCAUUCUUUUCUACACUAUUUUAGAGUGGAUUUUUACUCUGGUUCCAGAAUGAUUCGUUGACAACAAAAACCUCAGACUAGAUUUCCGGCUUAAAGAGACUCCUCUUUAUGGAGAAUAAGGUGCCAGCAAAACCUUGGGGGAACUUCAAGUUCGAAAGGUAACGUCCAUACCUUGGAAAUGUCCCCUAAGAGUCGAUCUUUAAAUUUCUACAUUCCUGCCUUUGGGAGGUGACAAUGGGCCUCGGCUCCCAUUAAUAGCAGGUGUGGUCAAAGACGGGUGUCCUAGGCGUGGGUUUGUUGUGUCUCAAAGAAUCCUCACAUCCUCAGCAGGUCUUCAAGUGGUGGGCCAUGAAACCUCAGGGAGCAGGAAUAGUUAAAUGUUGUAAUUGUUCUUGAACUGGCCAGAGAGAAAAAUUAGUGGUUUUCCAAAGGAAAUAUUUCUUUCAGAGGGAAACACUAACAAAUGCAGGUGUUUCUUAAAAGAAAACAAUUAUGUUUACAAACUCACAAUUCUUGUUAUUUCUGCAUAAGACAAACACCACCAAACCCUACACUGAGUAAAGAUGGGGACUCUGCAAGAAAGAGUGGCACAGAAAUCUCCAUGAAAAUUUCAGAAUCUGCAGGACAUUGAACAUAUGUAUUGUUUUCUUGGUAUCCUAUUUUUUCAGAGAGAUGGACUUAAACUUCAUUGGCAGAAAUUCUAUCUUUUAUCUUUAUCUCCUGUUUUGAUGUGGUAGCCAUGGAGAAAAGCCCAAGAUUAGUAACAGUAGGUUGUUGCAGAAUAAGAAUAACUCUCUACUUGGAUUUAGACUGUAGUAAUACCCAGGGUUUUGUUUAACUGGAAGUACUCAGAUUGCAUAGAAUAAAUACUAGGUGCUGUUAGGACAUUAAUCACCCAUCCCAUUCACUUCUAUCCACCUUGAACUAAACACCGGUAAUCUUCUGUCUUUUCUGAGGGAUGUUUAGGUGGCUUCCACAGGGUAGGGGUAGUGGGCUCUCUGUGCCUACUACUUUUGGAAACAAUGGUUAGUUCUCUUGAAGGUCAAUGUGUUUAUGCUUUUGCCCUGCUACAGACAUCAGGGCACCUGGACCCUUGGAAUUUGGUUCCGUUUGGCUAAUAAUGAAUGAAAUGGGCCAUAUUCUGAAGCUGAGAUGCCUCAGGCUCCACAAGAAAGCCAAAUUAAAAAAUACUACUUUAACGGCAGUGUCUAGCAAUGAGUUUCGAGAUUCCCUCUGGAAGCCCACAGUGAGAAACUUCAGAGAAAGGAAGGGGGUGGUGAAUCUUUUCUCCGAGAACCUAAGAAGAGACAGAAUGCCUUUGCCAGUGGCAUGGGCUAAGAAAGCAGGACAAUGGUAGGAACAAAGACACCACACCUUGCUCUUGUUUGCUACUGGCAAAGCAGGCUAUGGGUGGGAUUAGUAAAUGUUUGACCAUAAAGUUUUAGUUUCCCUAAUUCAGCUGAUAUCCAUGCUGUCUGGUACGUUACUUGAUUUGCCUCUCCUCAGCAUCUCAGCACGUAGCUUCAAGCACGUUUUGCAACUUUUCUUUAGAAAACUGUUUUGCAUUUUACAGCAACAUACAAACCAGAGCUCUUGCAGCAUAUUUAGGAAGAAAGGAAUUUACACUGCUUUUGCUGGGAUGACAUUCUAGGAUGACAGAGACACAUAGUGACACAUAGACAUAAUACCACAUAUUGUUAAGUUCUACCAGUCAAUGUGCUUCUACAACGUAAAUCUUGUUUCCAAAUGAUCACAGCUAAUGUCCUGUUUUGAUUCAUGGUGAUGGAAACUAGGUGCAGAUGACUGGCUAAUUUUAAGACUACAGAGAAAAGGCAGAUUGUUGGAGACCAGGAUCUGCUUGAAGACUGGCUUCUGAAUUAAAACUAAUUGGUAGCUUCCUUUGAUGGCCCUUUUGCAUCUGGAUGAGAAAGAUCCAAGAGAACUCAUUUUUCUUACUUAUUUCCCUCCUUCAUUUUAGCAGGUGAUGUCAGGAUGCCAUCAUGACUUCUGUACUUUUUUUUUUGAGAAGAUAAAAUAGUUGUUUGAUUAGUAAAUGUAAAAGAUCUGUAUUUUCUGCUGGUUUUUCAUUGCUAAAGAUCUGGUAGAUCUUAAGAUCAAGGUUAUUAAAAACAGCUUAUGACAUUUCUUAGGUCAGACACUCUUUUGAAUAUGUCUACUGUAGGUUUGGUGUUAGAAUGAUAUUAAAAAGCAUGUCUGAUCAUGGCAUGUAAGAAUU
Harpia harpyja (harpy eagle) is the source of this 13840-nucleotide long non-coding RNA. RefSeq lists it as uncharacterized. The record is from RefSeq and is a predicted model, not a curated record. NCBI's taxonomy places the organism in Eukaryota, Metazoa, Chordata, Aves, Accipitriformes, Accipitridae. The transcript is spliced from 2 exons.